Molecule: long non-coding RNA, 253 nt
Organism: Lampris incognitus (smalleye Pacific opah)
Lineage: Eukaryota; Metazoa; Chordata; Actinopteri; Lampriformes; Lampridae
Exons: 3
Source: RefSeq, a predicted model, not a curated record
AGGAUUCUCACUGUGUGGACACAGGGAAAGAUUUUUGGCCUGAGCAGAGGAAAACCAUCAUCGAGUGCCCACGUUCAAAGGAUUAUGUUGUAGUCCUCGCCGAUGGAAGGAUGGACUCAUCAGGUCAUUCUGCACAAUUCUGCACACAAGCUGCAAUUGAGAACGAAUCUGGAGACAUAAUCAGCGUUGUAACUGUUUACAAGAGGGAGACGACCAGAAGCUCUGUUGCAAUGGAGAAGGCCUUCAUAAGGAA